Apodemus sylvaticus (European woodmouse) is the source of this 442-nucleotide long non-coding RNA. RefSeq lists it as uncharacterized. Lineage: Eukaryota; Metazoa; Chordata; Mammalia; Rodentia; Muridae. The transcript is spliced from 3 exons. The record is from RefSeq and is a predicted model, not a curated record.
CACAGUAGUAAACAGACACACCAGGUCACGGUUGUCUGUCCUGUGGGGUCUCGGUGAGCAUCUGCUCCCGGACAUCCGAAGGGCUGGUCCCAUCUGGCAGUGAAUCUGUUCUUUCCUCAUCUGCUGUUCUGGGUGCUGGCUGCCCCAGCCCCACCUCCUCCCCGAGCGUCAGCACCAGCUGAGGUCACCCGCUGCUUGGCGGCAGCCCUGCCUAUCCGGGUUCCCCUAUCGGAGAUGACUCAGCGGUGGGUCCGCCCUAGCCCAGCCUGUGGAAAGGCCACUCCUGGGCCUCCUGGCACCGGACAGACAAGAUAUCCCCACUUGUAUGUGAUGUGUCUGCAAAGAACAUGGACUCAGGGUUAGGGUGACACCCCUGACCGCAAGUGUGGAGGCCCAAGACCAAAUUUCUUGUUCCAGUUCCCUAACAAGGAGAAAGCGAGUA